AUUGAACGCUGGCGGCAGGCCUAACACAUGCAAGUCGAACGAGUGGCGGACGGGUGAGUAAUGUCUGGGAAACUGCCUGAUGGAGGGGGAUAACUACUGGAAACGGUAGCUAAUACCGCAUACCAUCGGAUGUGCCCAGAUGGGAUUAGCUAGUAGGUGGGGUAAAGGCUCACCUAGGCGACGAUCCCUAGCUGGGCUGAGAGGAUGACCAGCCACACUGGAACUGCUACACGGUCCAGACUCCUACGGUAGGCAGCAGUGGGGAAUAUUGCACCAUGGGCGCAAGCCUGAUGCAGCCAUGCCGCGUGUAUGAAGAAGGCCUUCGGGUUGUAAAGUACUUUCAGCGGGGAGGCGUUACCCGCAGAAGAAGCACCGGCUAACUCCGUGCCAGCCGCCGCGGUAAUUC
This 406-nucleotide ribosomal RNA is filed under the name uncultured bacterium. Its description in RNAcentral is "partial 16S ribosomal RNA". It matches the Rfam family "Bacterial small subunit ribosomal RNA", at positions 30 to 526 of the family's 1533-position model. The record is from RNAcentral.